Molecule: unclassified non-coding RNA, 268 nt
Filed under: uncultured fungus
Lineage: Eukaryota; Fungi
Description: partial contains 5.8S ribosomal RNA, internal transcribed spacer 2, and large subunit ribosomal RNA
Rfam family: 5.8S ribosomal RNA (bases 1-52)
Source: RNAcentral
AACGCACAUUGCGCCCACUGGUAUUCCGGUGGGCAUGCCUGUUCGAGCGUCAUUAUCCUCUCUCAAGCCUUCUGGUUUGCUGUUGGACCCGCGUUGCCGCCCGCGUGCGCAACUGGUCUCAAAGACAAUGACGGCGUCCGUGGGGACCCUCUUCGCAACGAGCUUCUUCGGAGCACGCGUCGAGUUUCAAGGACCCUGUGGGCCGGUCUAACCAUUUUAUUUUUACAAGGUUGACCUCGGAUCAGGUAGGAAUACCCGCUGAACUUAA